AGCCGAAACGCUCCACUCCGGAGCGUCAGCCGCGGACCGGUCGCCGUGGCUCUGAUGAUGGCAGACCAGA
Molecule: non-coding RNA, 70 nt
Filed under: Roseburia sp. 831b
Lineage: Bacteria; Bacillati; Bacillota; Clostridia; Lachnospirales; Lachnospiraceae
Source: RNAcentral